GAUGAAGAACGUAGCGAAAUGCGAUACGUAAUGUGAAUUGCAGAAUUCAGUGAAUCAUCGAGUCUUUGAACGCACAUUGCGCCCCCUGGUAUUCCGGGGGGCAUGCCUGUCCGAGCGUCAUUGCUGCCCUCAAGCACGGCUUGUGUGUUGGGGCUCCGUCCUCCUCCCGGGGGACGGGCCCGAAAGGCAGCGGCGGCACCGCGUCCGGUCCUCGAGCGUAUGGGGCUUCGUCACCCGCUCUUGUAGGCCCGGCCGGCGCUUGCCGACACAUCAAUCUUUUUUCCAGGUUGACCUCGGAUCAGGUAGGGAUACCCGCUGAACUUAAGCAUAUCAAUAAGCGGAGGA
RNAcentral lists this unclassified non-coding RNA (345 nucleotides) under soil metagenome. RNAcentral describes it as "partial contains 5.8S ribosomal RNA, internal transcribed spacer 2, and large subunit ribosomal RNA". The stretch from base 1 to 120 matches the Rfam family "5.8S ribosomal RNA", at positions 35 to 154 of the family's 154-position model. The record is from RNAcentral.